RNAcentral lists this non-coding RNA (31 nucleotides) under Homo sapiens (human). Lineage: Eukaryota; Metazoa; Chordata; Mammalia; Primates; Hominidae. The record is from RNAcentral.
UCCUUCAUAUUCUGGAGCCAGUGCUAGGGGC